RNAcentral lists this long non-coding RNA (1440 nucleotides) under Coturnix japonica (Japanese quail). RNAcentral's name for it is "lncRNA (ENSCJPG00005007693.1)". The record is from RNAcentral. Lineage: Eukaryota; Metazoa; Chordata; Aves; Galliformes; Phasianidae.
AUGAGAAUCUCUUCGGGGUGUCUUCAAAGAAGGAAAAGAGGCUCUUUGGGCUCCCAGCUCAGCUCUAAUCAGCCAUCCAUGCAAACCAGGGCAUGGUAUUUCAUUGCUGCUCAUUUGGGGGCUCAAGCUGGUCUAAAUUGGGGGGAAAUCCACCCAAAACCCAAUGGGAAGAAACCCCUUUUUGAAGGCUUAGGGCUGUGGAUGGGUGUAUUUACAGCCCCAGGCUGCCCAUCCGUCUGCAGGAGCCUUAUAAAGAAGCCCUGGGGUUCUUUGGGGUCCCAAUGCAAUGGGGGCACAGCACUGUGGGAUCCCAAUGCAAAGGGAGCACAGCACCAUGGGGUCCCCACAUCCCCAUACAAAGGAGCCCAGAACUAUAGGGACCCCACAACCCUGCUCGAAGGAGCACAGCUCCAUGGGGUCCCCAUAUCCCCAUGCAAUGGGGGCACAGCACCAUGGGAUCCCAAUGCAAAAGGACCACAGUGCUGUGGGGUCCCCACAUCCCCAUACAAAGGAGCCCAGCACUACAGAGACCCCACACCCCCAUACUAAGGAGCACAGCGCCAUGGGGUCCCCACAUCCCCAUGCAAUGGGGUCCCAAUGCAAUGGGAGCACAGCACACUGGGGUCCCCACACCCCCCCACAAUGGGAGCUCAGGACCCCCAUUCUCACCCCCCAAGGAUGGGAUUUGUGAUGCUGAGCAAGGAGAGCUUGGAGCUGCAUGGUUGGCUGCAAAGCAAAUCGCAAAGCAGCAUUAAACCAAACCCCAUUGCAGCCUCCUCAUCCGUGCCCAGGAGCAGAGGAGCCUCCUGCCCUAUUAAUAUCAGCAUGAGGAGAGGGAACAUCUUUAUCUCUUCCAUCCAGCGAUACCUUGUCCUCUCUCUCUUUUAUGGCUCCAAUUCCCCUUUUUGUUCAGCCCCACGUGUCGCUCGUUGGGGGGGGGGGGGAGCUGCUGGAGCAUCUCGGAACAUAAUGAGAUAUCUAAAUAUGACACCUCUGCUCCGACCCAACCCCAUAAAACACCAGGGCUGGGAUGUGCUGAUCCACCGCCAGCCCCAUGCCUUAACUCCAUCAUUGCUUAAAGAUUACCCAGCAGCUUUUUUUCAAUUACCUCCUAUUAAUGUAUUUACCCGGCGUAUCUUUUAGAUCAAGCUGCAAGUUGUUGUUAUUAUUAUUUCCCGUGUAUUUAUUUUCUGUUUUCUUGCAGGGAGACGGGUUGGCUUCCCCUUAAACGGGGCCCAUAUUUCACUAUUAGAGCUGCUUCGUUAGCAGCGUGGGUUUGAGUGAUGCCAGCGCUGAGAUGCCUCCGCUCUCCAUCUCCUGGUGUUUAAUUCUGCUGCAGCUUCAAGCUGCUCCUUAGGUGAUGGGUUUGUGCUGAUGGGGUCGUGCCACCACCGAUGGCCACACGUCUGGACGCCCCAGGGGUGGGUUUGUUGCCCCACA